This is a long non-coding RNA of Manihot esculenta (cassava), 1685 nucleotides long. RefSeq lists it as uncharacterized. NCBI's taxonomy places the organism in Eukaryota, Viridiplantae, Streptophyta, Magnoliopsida, Malpighiales, Euphorbiaceae. The record is from RefSeq and is a predicted model, not a curated record. The transcript is spliced from 3 exons.
AGAAGAAAUAUAUAUAAAAUUAUUAGUAAAUUAAAUUUAAUAACUUGAAAAAGAAGAAAAAAAUUGACAUGGAGCAGAAAUCUGAAAAUAAAAGCAAAGCAAGGCAGCUGCUAGAAAGGAAAGCUAAAACCAAGUAAAUUAGAGCCAGCAAUAAAUUUGUAUUUUUUUUUUUUUAAAUGAGAAUUUGGAUCACACAUUUAUUCAAAUACACUGUUAAGUCUGAAUGCAUAUAUUUAUAUAUUCUAAACAAGCUAAACUUUGGGGGGAAAAAAUUGUAAUUUAAAGAAAGUGGGACUGGGAGUGGGAAGCUUGCUGAGGGUGAGGGAACCAAUAAUAUUAUUGCCAUUGAAUUUAUGAGAAAUAGAAAUGAGAGAGAAGAUGGUAUUGAAUGUGUUAGAUGAGAAAGUUAAUGUGCUGUCCUUUUUUAGUUAACUUUAAAAAAUAAAAACUUUUUUUUUUUUUUAAGUUUGCUAGAGACUCUUUAGGAUCUAAUCUUUUUUCUUGGUUGGAGAAAUAAUUUUAAAUUUUGGUAUACAGAAUGUAAUAAGAUAAUAAUUUGAAUUUCUCUCUAGAUUGAAGUUCUCUCUCGAAUCAAUGGAGUUUCUCAAGGGGUUCCUAGAGUAGUCUCCUCUGCUCUCCUGACAGAAGAGGGUGGCUGCUGAGCUUAGUAAUUUAUUUGUAGAGUUUCUGUUUUCUCGUCUCCAGAUCUAUGGGUUUCUAUGGAUUUUUUUGGAUAAUCUGAUGCUUGUUAAAUUUUGUAGGUUUAUCUUACUGUAAGAAAAGUGGCUUCGGGAGGAUCUCUACAGGAAAAUGUCUUCGAGGGCAUGUUGUCGGUUGGUAGGCGCAAUCUUGGCUAUAAGAAAUUGAGAAGUUAGAUUCUCUAUUUUCCUCUCUCCUGAAGCUGUAUAAGAGUUUUACUAAAUUCUCCUGUGGUGUUGUUUUCAGCUUUGCAUGUCUCUUGGGACGAUGUCUUUCUAGCUCCCAUAAGGGAGAAGUGCUUGUUUGGUUCUUCUUCUCCGUUAGCAAGGCGGAGUACCUAAGUUGAUUUAUUUGUGAGUUGGGCUUCACAUCUGGGCCUUUAAGGCUCCCUUAUAUUGAGGCCUUCAAAAAAAAAAACACAUUUGCAAGUAUUUAAGUAAAGCACUGGAAUCAAUGAUUACUCCGUCCCGUUUCGGAAUAGAGAAAAAGGCUCAUGAAUGGCAAAAUCCCGAUGUCCAAGUCUGACGAGGAAACAACUCUACGGUGGCGUUUUAGUAAAGGCCACGCAAGUUCACAAGUGUAACUGUGUAAACAGAGAUGAAGUUAUUGUAUUUGUAAAGCCGACGCCAUUUACCAGUCCUGUCCAAGUUAUUUGAACCUCUUCUUUUUCUAGUAAAAAAUUUAAUCUACGAGGGUAAUUGCAUCUCAAUAGUAUUGGUAUCUCGCAUUUGAACCCAGUUGACUUGAUUUGAUACUUUAGAUAUGUUAGUCUGAAUGUGUUUUUUAGGCAGGCAGGCUUGCUUCGAUGGAUCACCCUCUGCUUUAGCCCGAGGAUUUUCGAAUGGUCCCUCUCGUUAUCAUAUGGGAAGUUUUUCCGACUAGUCAUUGAAAGUUAGCUUUGAAACCUCGAGGGAGAAAGGGUAAGCACAUAAAGCUAUAAAUCACACGUGCCAUAGGCAGGCAUGAUCAAGUUAAACUACCUAUUU